RNAcentral lists this ribosomal RNA (497 nucleotides) under uncultured bacterium. Its description in RNAcentral is "partial 16S ribosomal RNA". It matches the Rfam family "Bacterial small subunit ribosomal RNA", at positions 28 to 507 of the family's 1533-position model. The record is from RNAcentral.
GAUGAACGCUGGCGGCGUGCCUAAUACAUGCAAGUCGAGCGAACAGACGAGGAGCUUGCUCCUCUGACGUUAGCGGCGGACGGGUGAGUAACACGUGUAUAACCUACCUAUAAGACUGGUAUAACUUCGGGAAACCGGAGCUAAUACCGGAUAAUAUAUUGAACCGCAUGGUUCAAUAGUGAAAGACGGUUUUGCUGUCACUUAUAGAUGGAUCCGCGCCGUAUUAGCUAGUUGGUAAGGUAACGGCUUACCAAGGCAACGAUGCGUAGACGACCUGAGAGGGUGAUAGGCCACACUGGAACGGGGACACGGUCCAGACUCCUACGGGAGGCAGCAGUAGGGAAUCUUCCGCAAUGGGCGAAAGCUUGACGGAGCAACGCCGCGUGAGUGAUGAAGGUGUUCGGAUCGUAAAACUCUGUUAUUAGGGAAGAACAAAUGUGUAAGUAACUAUGCACGUCUUGACGGUACCUAAUCAGAAAGCCACGGCUAACUACGUG